GUGUCUUUUGGUAUUAAUAAAAAAAUUAAUAAAAUCUGUUCUUAUCAGUUUAAUAUCUGAUAUGUCCCCUACCCGGGGACUGCAUAUUAAAUGGAUGUUUGGAUCACGGAGCUGGAGCCGGGGUUUGUUCCGUCCAUUCCACGCAUCGGCCUGGUAUUGCAGUGUCUCCAGAAACUAAGUGCUUCCC
This 187-nucleotide small nuclear RNA is filed under the name Sinocyclocheilus grahami. Its description in RNAcentral is "U2 spliceosomal RNA (ENSSGRG00000017971.1)". It matches the Rfam family "U2 spliceosomal RNA". Rfam says of the family: U2 is a small nuclear RNA (snRNA) component of the spliceosome (involved in pre-mRNA splicing). Complementary binding between U2 snRNA (in an area lying towards the 5' end but 3' to hairpin I) and the branchpoint sequence (BPS) of the intron results the bulging out of an unpaired adenosine, on the BPS, which initiates a nucleophilic attack at the intronic 5' splice site, thus starting the first of two transesterification reactions that mediate splicing. Lineage: Eukaryota; Metazoa; Chordata; Actinopteri; Cypriniformes; Cyprinidae. The record is from Rfam by way of RNAcentral.